ACCUAAUUAACUCAGUGGUUAGAGUAUCGCUUUCCAUACGUUGGAUGCCGUUGGUUCAAAUCCCAUAUUAGGU
RNAcentral lists this transfer RNA (73 nucleotides) under Monotropa uniflora (ghost pipe). RNAcentral's name for it is "tRNA-Met". It matches the Rfam family "tRNA". From Rfam's summary of the family: Transfer RNA (tRNA) molecules are approximately 80 nucleotides in length. Their secondary structure includes four short double-helical elements and three loops (D, anti-codon, and T loops). The record is from RNAcentral. Lineage: Eukaryota; Viridiplantae; Streptophyta; Magnoliopsida; Ericales; Ericaceae.